RNAcentral lists this ribosomal RNA (544 nucleotides) under uncultured bacterium. RNAcentral's name for it is "partial 16S ribosomal RNA". It matches the Rfam family "Bacterial small subunit ribosomal RNA", at positions 355 to 892 of the family's 1533-position model. The record is from RNAcentral.
UGGGGAAUUUUGGACAAUGGGCGAAAGCCUGAUCCAGCAAUGCCGCGUGUGUGAAGAAGGCCUUCGGGUUGUAAAGCACUUUUGUCCGGAAAGAAAUCCUUGGCUCUAAUACAGUCGGGGGAUGACGGUACCGGAAGAAUAAGCACCGGCUAACUACGUGCCAGCAGCCGCGGUAAUACGUAGGGUGCAAGCGUUAAUCGGAAUUACUGGGCGUAAAGCGUGCGCAGGCGGUUUGCUAAGACCGAUGUGAAAUCCCCGGGCUCAACCUGGGAACUGCAUUGGUGACUGGCAGGCUAGAGUAUGGCAGAGGGGGGUAGAAUUCCACGUGUAGCAGUGAAAUGCGUAGAGAUGUGGAGGAAUACCGAUGGCGAAGGCAGCCCCCUGGGCCAAUACUGACGCUCAUGCACGAAAGCGUGGGGAGCAAACAGGAUUAGAUACCCUGGUAGUCCACGCCCUAAACGAUGUCAACUAGUUGUUGGGGAUUCAUUUCCUUAGUAACGUAGCUAACGCGUGAAGUUGACCGCCUGGGGAGUACGGUCGCAAG